This 253-nucleotide ribosomal RNA is filed under the name uncultured bacterium. RNAcentral's name for it is "partial 16S ribosomal RNA". It matches the Rfam family "Bacterial small subunit ribosomal RNA", at positions 524 to 776 of the family's 1533-position model. The record is from RNAcentral.
UACGGAGGAUGCAAGCGUUAUCCGGAUUCAUUGGGUUUAAAGGGUGCGUAGGCGGAAUUGUAAGUCAGAGGUGAAAUCCAGCAGCUUAACUGUUGAAUUGCCUUUGAUACUGCUGUUCUUGAAUGUAGUUGGCGUUGGCGGAAUGUGACAUGUAGCGGUGAAAUGCGUAGAUAUGUCACAGAACACCGAUCGCGAAGGCAGCUAACGAAACUAUCAUUGACGCUGAUGCACGAAAGCGUGGGGAGCAAACAGG